This 87-nucleotide transfer RNA is filed under the name Flavobacteriales bacterium. RNAcentral's name for it is "tRNA-Leu". It matches the Rfam family "tRNA". Rfam says of the family: Transfer RNA (tRNA) molecules are approximately 80 nucleotides in length. Their secondary structure includes four short double-helical elements and three loops (D, anti-codon, and T loops). Further hydrogen bonds mediate the characteristic L-shaped molecular structure. tRNAs have two regions of fundamental functional importance: the anti-codon, which is responsible for specific mRNA codon recognition, and the 3' end, to which the tRNAs corresponding amino acid is attached (by aminoacyl-tRNA synthetases). tRNAs cope with the degeneracy of the genetic code in two manners: having more than one tRNA (with a specific anti-codon) for a particular amino acid; and 'wobble' base-pairing, i.e. permitting non-standard base-pairing at the 3rd anti-codon position. Lineage: Bacteria; Pseudomonadati; Bacteroidota; Flavobacteriia; Flavobacteriales. The record is from RNAcentral.
GCCCGGGUGGUGGAAUUGGUAGACACGUUGGACUUAAAAUCCAAUGAACAUUAGUUCGUACGGGUUCAAGUCCCGUCCCGGGUACAA